Onychomys torridus (southern grasshopper mouse) is the source of this 1695-nucleotide long non-coding RNA. RefSeq lists it as uncharacterized. Lineage: Eukaryota; Metazoa; Chordata; Mammalia; Rodentia; Cricetidae. The record is from RefSeq and is a predicted model, not a curated record. The transcript is spliced from 3 exons.
UGUUCAGAGUGGUUGCUCUCCUUCCCUUACACCGCUUAAAUUGGAAAGCUGAGAUGCAAAGCAUAUUCCAGGGCCAGCCGAGUUAUAAUGGUGUUCUAUGACGGCUGUCAGCAGGUUAUUUUAGCCUUCACGGUCCUACUUCUAAAGAAUUUAUGUCACUUUCAGUGACUUGGCCAUUGUCUGUGGAUUUUCUCCACUACAAUAACUCAAGCUUGUCUCAUGUUGACAAAAGAAAAGCACAGCAGGACCAAAGAAAAGAGGAUGAAGAUGAAAUACAGCAUGGACGUUGCAAUCUUGGGUGCUUUGUGGACAGACAAGUAGAGAUGUAGAGUGAUCAGUAAACAGGGGAUCAGUAAAACAGGAAACCUUGGGUACUGAGCAGACUUCCUAAAGAAGAAAGAGAGCCAAGGAUCCUGAGGUCAGCAACAUAACAUGAAAGAGGAAAAUGAUUGUGACAAUGACAUCAAUUAGAAAGCAAAGCAAAAUGGAAAAGCAAGACAUUUAUCAAAUACUUACUGUGCUUGGGCACCAAUCUCCAUGCCUCACAUGUACCAAUGAAUCAUGACAAGCCCACCAGAGUGCCUUUAUGACCCUUGGCUUUCAUUAAUUUGGCUAAAUAUCAAAUUCUGCUGCCAGUUCUGUAUUAAUUUUGCUCAGACUUCUGAAAAUUCAAAUUCACUUUAGAAAAUAUUCGCACUAUUUAUAUCAUUAGAAACUUCUUUUGCCUUUCCACAUGUGCUGACCUGUUUGCCCUCUGUAUUUCUAUCCCUAUUUGUCAUUUAUCUCUUUGCCUGAAGUGAUGUGGCCUUUAUAGUGUUUUUUCCCUUCAAUUUGCAAUGUACAAAAGUCAUCACCUGUUUGCAUUUGCUUACAUUCAUAUCAUUUCCUUGUGGUUUUCAUCUCUACUUUGCAUUUUUCCCACUUCCUUCCUGCUGCCAUGUGUGCUAUCUCAUGCUGUUGGUGGUUUCUUAUGCAGCUUUGAUCCUUCUCUUUAAGACUCUUACCAUCUCUUUGUAUGUCCUUUUGAAAGAUUUCAACAAUAUCUGUUCUCCCACGACUUACAUUCCUGGUCUAGCCCUUUGCCUUGGAAUUUAUUGAAAACUCAUAACAAAUUCAUUUCAACAUGCACUGGCCUCCCAAACAGAGCACUUUUUAAGUGGAACUCAAAUGAUUUCUCUCACAUACAUUUUUGCCCCAUAUGCUUUCAUUCUGUAAGUGGCGCCACCUUUCCAACAGUUGUUCACACACAAAUCAGUAUUCGUUAUCAGUGUCCAUUCUCAAGUCCAGACCAUGGCAUGGAGAGCUUUGACUCCAAAAAGUUACACUAAUGUUAUCUGCUAGGGACUGUGGAUGUUCUGACUUUGAAAAUGUGACAUCAAUUGUUUUGGGAUAAAUAACAAAUUGUUUGGAGAAGGAACACCCAUGUAAGCAGUGGGCAAAAUGCCUAACCCUGGGUAAACUGAGAACUAAGGUUAGAAAUGAUAAAGUAAAUUAAAACAAGAUUAUUAAUACUCUUGCUUAGAAGGAGAAAUACGGCUUGUAGUGUAUAUAGCUCAAGGACAAAGCACCUCCUUAGCACAUAGGAGGCACUGAACUCCAUACCCAGUACUACACAGAAAAGAUGGGAAAUAACACUGUGUAUUUUUAUUUCAUAUAUAUCUACAUUUUAGAAUAUGGCAUGUUUAGUUGUAGAGG